GAUGAACGCUGGCGGCGUGCUUAACACAUGCAAGUCGAACGGACGGGCGAGAUUCUUGCUGGUCGGGUGUUGUGGGCGGACGGGUAAUUAACCGGUGGAUACCCUACCUUUGGGACUGGGAUAACGUCGGGAAACCGGAGCUAAUACCGGAUAUUAUGUUGAACCGCAUGGUCCGAAAGUGAUAGACGGUCUGGCUGUGACGUAUAGAUGGAUGCGCGCUGCAUUGGCUAGUGGGUAAGGUGACGGCUUACCAAGGCAACGAUGCGUAGCCGACCUGAGAGGGUGAUCGGCCACACUGGAACUGAGACACGGUCCAGACUCCUACGGGAGGCGGCAGUGGGGAAUGUUGCACAGUGGGAGGAACCCUGACCGAGCGACGCCGCGUGAGUGAAGAGGGUCUUCGGGUCGUAAAACGCUGUUAUUAGGGAAGAACAUAUGUGUAAGUACCUGUGGAGGGGUUGACGGUACCUGAUGAAGAAGCACCGGCUAACUACGUG
This 497-nucleotide ribosomal RNA is filed under the name uncultured bacterium. RNAcentral's name for it is "partial 16S ribosomal RNA". It matches the Rfam family "Bacterial small subunit ribosomal RNA", at positions 28 to 507 of the family's 1533-position model. The record is from RNAcentral.